GUGGGGAAUCUUGCGCAAUGGGCGAAAGCCUGACGCAGCCAUGCCGCGUGAAUGAUGAAGGUCUUAGGAUUGUAAAAUUCUUUCACCGGGGACGAUAAUGACGGUACCCGGAGAAGAAGCCCCGGCUAACUUCGUGCCAGCAGCCGCGGUAAUACGAAGGGGGCUAGCGUUGCUCGGAAUUACUGGGCGUAAAGGGCGCGUAGGCGGACAGUUUAGUCAGAGGUGAAAGCCCAGGGCUCAACCUUGGAAUUGCCUUUGAUACUGGCUGUCUUGAGUACGGGAGAGGUGAGUGGAACUCCGAGUGUAGAGGUGAAAUUCGUAGAUAUUCGGAAGAACACCAGUGGCGAAGGCGACUCACUGGCCCGUUACUGACGCUGAGGCGCGAAAGCGUGGGGAGCAAACAGGAUUAGAAACCAGUGUAGUCC
This 425-nucleotide ribosomal RNA is filed under the name uncultured bacterium. Its description in RNAcentral is "partial 16S ribosomal RNA". It matches the Rfam family "Bacterial small subunit ribosomal RNA", at positions 354 to 796 of the family's 1533-position model. The record is from RNAcentral.